Molecule: RNA transcript, 595 nt
Organism: Octodon degus (degu)
Lineage: Eukaryota; Metazoa; Chordata; Mammalia; Rodentia; Octodontidae
Gene name: E3 SUMO-protein ligase NSE2 pseudogene
Exons: 1
Source: RefSeq, a predicted model, not a curated record
ACAGGUAAUAUUUUCAAGAUGCCGGGACGUUCCAGUUCAAAUUCAGGUUCAACUGGUUUCAUACCCUUCAGUGGUGUAGAGUCCGCUCUCUCCUCCUUAAAAAACUUCCAGUCCUGUAUCCACUCUGGAAUGGACACAGUUUCUAGUGUGGCUUUUGAUCUUGUGGAGACUCAGACUGAAGUGAGUAGCGAAUAUAGUAUGGACAAGGCGAUGGUUGAAUUUGUCAUAAUGAAUCGGAAGCUAAACCAUUAUGUUACGGCUGUUCAGUCUGCAAUAAAUCAUGUAAAAGAAGAACGGCCAGAAACAUACCUGAUUUGAAAUUAUUAGUGGAGGAGAAAUUUUUGGCUUUACAGAGUAAAAAUUCUGAUGCAGACUUUCAAAAUAAUGAAAAAUUUGUACAGUUUAAACAACAGCUGAAAGAACUACAGAAACAAUAUGGUGUGUGCAGGUGGAGCGAGGGGCUGAUGGCACUGAAGGAGUUGAUGAGGAGUUGAUUGUGACUCAGAGUCAGGCCAACUUCAUCUGCCCCGUUACACAGUUGGAAAUGAAGAAGCCAGUGAAAAAUAAAGUGUGCGGCCACACCUAUGAAGAGGAA